RNAcentral lists this ribosomal RNA (499 nucleotides) under uncultured Janthinobacterium sp. RNAcentral's name for it is "bacterial SSU rRNA". It matches the Rfam family "Bacterial small subunit ribosomal RNA", at positions 33 to 530 of the family's 1533-position model. Lineage: Bacteria; Pseudomonadati; Pseudomonadota; Betaproteobacteria; Burkholderiales; Oxalobacteraceae. The record is from RNAcentral.
CUGACGCUGGCGGCAUGCUUCUACACAUGCACAGUCGAACGGCAGCGCGGGGCACCUGGCGGCGAGUGGCGAACGGGUAUUACAUCGGAACGUACCCAGAAGUGGGGGAUAACGUAGCGAAAGUUACGCUAAUACCGCAUACGUUCUACGGAAGAAAGUGGGGGACCUUCGGGCCUCAUGCUUUUGGAGCGGCCGAUGUCUGAUUAGCUAGUUGGUGAGGUAAAGGCUCACCAAGGCGACGAUCAGUAGCUGGUCUGAGAGGACGACCAGCCACACUGGGACUGAGACACGGCCCAGACUCCUACGGGAGGCAGCAGUGGGGAAUUUUGGACAAUGGGCGCAAGCCUGAUCCAGCAAUGCCGCGUGAGUGAAGAAGGCCUUCGGGUUGUAAAGCUCUUUUGUCAGGGAAGAAACGGCUGAGGUUAAUACCUUCGGCUAAUGACGGUACCUGAAGAAUAAGCACCGGCUAACUACGUGCCAGCAGCCGCGGUAAUAGUAG